This 68-nucleotide transfer RNA is filed under the name Macrogyropus costalimai. RNAcentral's name for it is "tRNA-Gln". Lineage: Eukaryota; Metazoa; Arthropoda; Insecta; Psocodea; Gyropidae. The record is from RNAcentral.
UACAUGAAAAUGUGUAAUUUGCAUAUGAGAUUUUGAUUCUCAAAGAGAUAAUUUUUUAUCUUAUGUAU